Molecule: RNA transcript, 4491 nt
Organism: Hylaeus volcanicus
Lineage: Eukaryota; Metazoa; Arthropoda; Insecta; Hymenoptera; Colletidae
Exons: 4
Source: RefSeq, a predicted model, not a curated record
GGCGGAAGACAACGUGGCAGAUUCAUUAAAUAUCAACGCCGAUAUAAACCAUAGCGAACGCGAGAAAUUGAAAAUCAUAUUUAACGAACAGUAUUUUCAACCGUCCCGUCCAACGGUGCCCCGCGUCAAUGCCGAGCUAAAAUUAACCCUAAACGACCAUAAACCCUUUCAUACCUCUCCUCGACGAAUUUCCUAUUCCGAGAAAGAACAACUUAGACAGAUAUUAGAUGGGUUGUUAAGCAAAGGUGUUAUUAGAACUAGCGAUUCCGAAUAUGCGUCGCCAAUCGUCUUAGUAAAGAAGAAAAACGGAGAACUCCGUAUGUGCGUGGAUUAUCGGAUUCUAAACAAGGCGAUUCGAAAAAAAAUAUUAUAGCUUGUUAGAUUUGAGAGACGGGUUCCAUCACAUCCGCAUAUCGGAAGAUUCAAUCAAGUACACUUCGUUUGUCACUCCCCUAGGUCAAUUUGAAUAUUUAAAGAUGCCUUUCGGUCUCAAAAGAUUCCAUCUCGAUUUCAAAAAUUUAUCAACGAAGUUUUCGCAGAUCUAAUUAAGUCAGGCGAUGUAGUUGUGUAUAUAGACGACAUAUUAAUAGCAACACGAACGUUAGAACAUCAUUUUCAAAUUCUCCGUCACGUUUUUACACUCCUAGUAGAAAAUAAGAUGGAGUUAAGAUUAGAUAAAUGCAAAUUCUUAUAUAAAGAAAUAGAGUACUUGGAAUAUUUCAUAACAGAGAAAGGUAUCAGCCCACCGAAAAGUGGGGUAGAGGCCGUUGAAAGAUUUCCGAUACCGCAAAAUACCCGUGACGUACAAAGCUUUUUAGGGCUCAGCUCGUACUUUCGUAAAUUACCACGGAGUUCGAAAGCAGGUACCACAGCUUUGAACUCGAGGUGUUAGCUAUAGUUUACGCAUUGAGACGUUUCCGGAUUUAUUUACAUGGUAUCAAAUUUAACAUUCUAACCGAUUGUCAUUCACUUCAAAUGACGUUGAACAAGAAGGAAAUAAACCCACGAAUCGCGAGAUGGGCAUUAGAGCUACAAAAUUAUGAUUACGAGAUAAUUCACAGACCAGGCACACGCAUGGCGCAUGCGGAUGCGCUGAGCAGAUCUACCAACGUCCUCGUGGUAGAAGGAAAUUCAUUCGAGUCAGAUUUAGCACUAAUGCAAAACCGAGACCCCAAGGAAUAGUGGAAGGAAUAUUACUGCGAAAUAGUCAAGGAAAGUUGGAAAAAAUCAGAAAUUCCAGAUGACUGGAAAUCAGGCAGAUUAUGCUUCAUAGACAAGGCAGGUAAAGCUGCAAUAAGACCUAUAACACUAACAUCUUGUUCAGGAAAAAGGUAAAAUCUCUAAAAUAAAAGAGAAGUUAGAAUCUAAAGAAGACGGAUUCUUCGAAAUGCGAGAUUGGAAAAAACGUACAAUUAAUAAAAAACUAUUCAACAGCAUUUAUGUGUCUUACAAUUAUGUGCAUUUACGAGACAUGGUUAAAUGAAUUUCCAAUAAAGAGUAUAAAGGGCUGCAAUAUCAAACAUUAUACGAUACCGAAUAUGGAAAGGAGGAGAUUCCACGGAACUCCAGGUACAGGGUUGGCAAUAAUUUACAGAGAUUCGCUAAAAAUUAGAUUCAAAAAAGAAAAAUUCCUUCUAUUUGAACUAGAGUAUAUGAGCUUCGAGAUUCUGGACAAAAAUAACUUUACGAUAAUACCCAUAACGCUAUUUUAUAGAAAUCCUAGGAAUUAUUUUAGUAGACAGGACUGGAAUAACCUAUUCAGAGACAUAGAUUUGACGGACGAGACAAUUUUAAUAGGAGACCUGAACACAAAAAAACACCCUUUGGAACUGUAAACAAUCUAAUCAAUCGGGCAAAGCCCUAGAAAAAGAACUAGACAAUUGGGAUCUUAUAAUACAUAACACGGACACGAUAACGAGACAUGACCCACGUACGGCAGAACCUAAUAUCGACUUAAUAAUAUCGCGUCCCCAUUUAGCGGAAUACAUCAAAUAUUCAGAAACAAACAUUUGUUUAGGAUCGAACCAUCAGAUACUGAACAUACAGAUUUAUUCAGACAAUGAUUUCGGUUUAGACAUAGCAAACACGAGCUCAAGGAUAAACAACAGACUGUAUAAUUCCAAAAAAGGAUUAGUCUGGAGAGGGUUCAGAGAAAAACUGGAAUCGAACAAAAGUAAGUUUAUCAACGAUUUCAAUUCAACAAACAACAUUAACGAUAAAUAUGUGAUCUGAAAAGAGACAAUAAUCGAAAUUUUGAACAGUAUAACAACAAAGGACAAGGACCAAUUAAGGAAAAAACAUAAAAAUGCCGAAAGACCACAAACAGUAAAAUACCACAGAAUUCAGGAACCAAACCAUAAUAAACACAAAAAGUCCUGGUGGGACGAAGAAUGCAGAGAACAUUGGGAAAACUGGAAGAAAAGUAUGAAGAAAGUAUGUAAGAUCGGUAAUACGAAGGACUUCAUAAUAAUGGAACACAACAGGAAAAAAAUGGAACGAAAUAAAACAAAAAAAGAAAGAUUCAGCCUGGUCAUCGCUCACAGAAGAGAUAGCAAAGGAAAGGGACUUAGGUAAGAUAUGGAGAAGAAUUAGAGGAAUCAAAGAAUGUUUCACCAAAGAAAAAUCACCCCUUAAUGAUAGUACGAGAAUGGAAUUGGAGGAAAUAGAAAUUUUCAAGUUGAAAAACAAAAAUCUGGCUAUUUCAGGUAUCGUAACGGACGAUUCGACAACGAACAACUGGAGUCAAGACAUCCAAACGAGCAUAUGGGAGAAAGACUUGGAAAAUUAUGAGAUUCUGAUGACAAUAAAUAGCACCAAAGGUAAAACGCCAGCCCCAGGGGACGACAGGAUCGAUUACAAAAUAAUGUACGAGUUACCAUCGUUCAUGAAGGAAUAUUACUGCGAAAUAGUCAAGGAAAGUUGGAAAAAAUCAGAAAUUCCAGAUGACUGGAAAUCAGGCAGAUUAUGCUUCAUAGACAAGGCAGGUAAAGCUGCAAUAAGACCUAUAACACUAACAUCUUGUUCAGGAAAAAUUCACUUUGGGCCGAAGAAAACAACAUAAUUAAAGAAACUCAGGCAGGAUUUAGAAAAAUAGAUCAACAAUCGACAACUUAAAUCAGGUGAUCACUCAUCCUGGAAAACAAGGGAUGCCCAAAUAGAAUACAUAAUUGGAUUAAGGAGUAAACGAAGCAGUUAAGAUAGAAGAGGUAAAAUUCGUAAAAUACGCUGACGACAUAGCAAUCAUAACACAAGGGAAAAAUUUAGAACAAACCACGAUUACAAUCGAAGAAGGAAUUUCGCAGUUAGGAGAUUUCCUGAGGGACAGAGAACUCGAGUUAUCUAUCGAAAAGACAAAAAUGUUGUUCUUUGGAUUACAAACACCACAGAACAACAUCACGCUAAGACUGAACGAAUAGCUAUCUCCGAUAGAAGUAGUUCAUUCGGCUAAAUUUCUAGGUAUUGGUAUCGACGACCGACCAAAUUUCAAUUCACAUUAUCAGGAACUCAUGAAAAAAGUAAAAAGAAGACUAAGCAUAGUGAAUUACCUUUGCCACGGUAACAAAGGGAUAAAACAAAACCAAGGGUUAAUGAUAGCCAGGGCAUUAAUCACAUCAGUAAUGGAAUACGGAGCUGCGAUAUACAUGAAUUCAACAAAACAGCAACACAUACAGGAGGAACUCAGGAAAUUAGAAUCGAAAGCGAUAAGAACAGCGAUGGGCUACAGGAUGUCCACCCCGUUGAAUGUCAUGUACCCAGAGGCAGGAUGGAUACGUCACAAAGACAGAGCUUUAUUUUUGGCGUGUAAAUACUGGAUUGGACAAUUAGAAAAAGGAAGGGAUUAGAAAAGACAACGUGAACACAGCGAAUAAUCUAUCGGAGGAGGCAUUCAAAAAGAUGUAUCGCUUCAAAGACAUGAUCUACGAGAGAGACUAAGGCACAAGAAAGGAUCGAAUACUGGAAAUGAUUUUUCAGCAUAGAACAACGAGAUACAAGAGACAAAGGAUUAAUCCUGGAUACAACGACAGGUAGACUAAUCGAAGAUAAACAUAUUCCAAUCGAAAUAACGGUAGAUUACUUUAAAUUCGUCCACGACAUAAAAAAUGAAACAGCUGUCUAUUUCACAGAUGGGAGCAAGAUACCCGAACAUACGUCAAACGGUAUAGGAAUAAUAACGAUGAACAACGAAUCGGUAGAGAUCGAAGGGAAAACGAUAAGUAACAAAUUUACAAUAUUUACAACCGAACUAAUAGGAAUAAACAUAGGUUUGAGAAAAUUCCUGAACAACGAACAAAGAGCAAACUGCCUCGUCCUGACAGAUUCAAUGUCGGCGAUAAAAGCAUUGAGAAACGUGGAUACCAAUUACAGAGAAUCAAGAGACAACCCAUAGAUCGUCGAAACAUGGAAACUGGGAAAGGAGGAUAGAACAGACAGAAGUUACAAAGUACCAGCGAAGGAAAUCGUCACGGAGCUCAGACACAAUUUUUGGAACAA